RNAcentral lists this ribosomal RNA (408 nucleotides) under uncultured bacterium. Its description in RNAcentral is "bacterial SSU rRNA". It matches the Rfam family "Bacterial small subunit ribosomal RNA", at positions 354 to 777 of the family's 1533-position model. The record is from RNAcentral.
GUGGGGAAUAUUGGGCAAUGGGGGAAACCCUGACCCAGCAACGCCGCGUGAAGGAAGAAGGUCUUCGGAUCGUAAACUUCUAUCCUCGGUGAAGAGGAGAAGACGGUAGCCGAGAAGGAAGCCCCGGCUAACUACGUGCCAGCAGCCGCGGUAAUACGUAGGGGGCAAGCGUUGUCCGGAAUGAUUGGGCGUAAAGGGCGUGUAGGCGGCUAAGUAAGUCUGGAGUGAAAGUCCUGCUUUUAAGGUGGGAAUUGCUUUGGAUACUGCAUAGCUAGAGUGCAGGAGAGGUAAGUGGAAUUCCCAGUGUAGCGGUGAAAUGCGUAGAGAUUGGGAGGAACACCAGUGGCGAAGGCGACUUACUGGACUGUAACUGACGCUGAGGCGCGAAAGUGUGGGGAGCAAACAGGA